CAUUGGCUGCCACCGCGCCCGGCCCUGGCACCAUGUGCUCGGGGACGCGAUGCGGAGCGGAGCCGGAGAGGCGCGGCCGGGCCCGGCCUGCCGGGACCCGCCGGCUCGGCGCGGCCGGCCCCCCGCUCGCGCGCUGCCCCGCCGCGGCCUGCUCGCCUCCCGGCCCGGGCCGCAGCCGCCCCCUGGCCCCGCGGGGCGCCGCGCAGCGCAGCACAGCGCCCGCCGCGGAGGAGCGGCCAGGGCGGCGGCCCCGGGAGGAGCGCAGCGCAGCGCAGCGCGGCGCAGUAGGUGUCGCGCGCCGGCAGGCUGGCUGCCGAACGAACGGACUCGCGAGGCCCCGAGCCUCUUCACGCUUAAGGGAUGGUCGGAUCUCCAGCGUUUACGGUUCACGGGCUGUCGCCGUCAGCGCCAUCCCGCCUGCUUCGCAAACGCGUUCAUAGCAGAGCAUCGAGACCGGGGCCGCUCCGGCUCACGGCGCUGUCUGCAAACUGACCUCGAGGGCUGCCCUUAUUCCCAAAUAAACUUUAGGAAAACUAGGCCAGAAAAGCCUCUUCCCAACUUCAGUCACAGGCUUCGGGGAUUUCUCCAGAAGCCUGACCAAGGCAUGCACUAGAAAUGUUAUCAAGCUUUGUAAACACUCUCCAAGAAGAAAAACGGCAUGGGAGAGUUAACCUUACCAAGUCAAGCAUCAGAGUUUUAAUUAGGUUAAUAAAAGGAUUACAUUGAAAUUACAUUUACUUCUAAGAACCUCAGAUUUACUGGGGCUCUGUGUCUGCAAAAUAUGAAAUAGCUGUAUUAUUAGCAGUACUUUGUCAUCUCUGAGCUGUAGUACCAUUUUUACUGUUAUUUGGUAUUGCGUGGUUACUUUUGCUAGUAACUACAGUGGGACACCUCUGGCUGUACUAAGGUGAAGCAGCUGUAUGUAGUUAGGAGCAGCAUUAUCCCAUUUAUAUGGCAACUUUCUUGGGUUUAGCUGUUUCUUGAUCUUCCUUAUAAGACACUAGACUUAUUAUUAUUUAUUUUGUCCUUUUGAAUACCUCCAGCUCCUUGAAUACAUUCUCACCUCAAAGGGGGGAAUGAGGUGUUGUCCCCCAUAUUAUGUGUCUCAGAGAUUUCUAUAAAAUCCCACAAGAGCGCUUGAGGAACCAUGCAGCAUACAGGCUAAGGUGGCAUCUGUGGGCUCACCCAGAGACUGCCAAAGGUAUCCAAAUUUAGAAACAAAGGAAACUGAUACCUUCGCUCAGAUUAGAAAGUGCACCAGAACAACCCGUUUUGUAUGAUUUUUCUAUAGAUAGAAUAUUUUUAGCUUUGAUACUGUUUCUUUCACUCUUAUACAUUUAUGCAUGUGUAACUUAUGCAGACAGGAAAUAACCAUGCAUAUUGAUAUUAAUAGCCUCUUUUCAGCACUUUAUUUCUCCCUUCCCUGCUAAACUUGUAAGACCUCCCAAGCAUUGCCUCCAUUUAAUAACGUACAGGUGGAAAACAGCCUAGCCAGCAAGUUACACACUGUGCAGUUUGCCUAAUACUGUCUCUUGCCAUGGAGCACAACUGGUUUGCCUUUUGUUAGGUAGCUUGCUGUAUGUAUUCUUCAUCUAAAGCCUAUCUUUGUUUAUGUCAUGCAGUAAUACAGAAUUUAUCACACAUAUUGCAAAUGAAUUUGCAGCUGAAACAGGUCAUGGCUUCUACUUAAUAUAGGUCUCAGACAUCAUCUAAAUUAUUAGAUUAUAUUUAUAUAAUUAUAUUUAUGUAAUGGUUGAAAAAAAUAAGACAAGUAGCUGCAUUAAAAAGGUAUGGCAUGACCCCCAGCUCACAGGCCACUAUCUCUGAUUAUCUUCCUAAGUGAUAUACAAACACAAGAAGACAUCCAGCCCUUGCUACCAAAACACAAGGAAAGUAGUAGAAUGUAAACACAAAGCUGCUAGUGUACAUACUGACACAUGAAUGACAUUUACAUUGUUCAGAAUAAAAAGCAGGAUAUUCCUGAAUAAUGAACAGGGAAGAAAACACUAUAAUAUGAAUCAUCUUUUAAAAUCAAAUAGGGGCUCUUUUGAAAUGGGAAAUUAUUCAUCAAAAAAAGUGCAGCUAAUAAUAAAGUCCCUUAACCUGUAUUUUGUAGUAGGUGACAGGUGAACAAAUCACAGGUCUAGAGUUUCUCUACCCUGCCUCUCUCUGGUAACGUCAUCUCCAGUACCAUCUGCUACCUACCAGACAAACAGACCAACCACAUAAUGAGGUACCAGCUUCCACCCAGCUACCGUGACUAAAUCAGAACAAAAGAAUUCAACGCCUCCUUCAACAAAGGGACACAAGUCUAAGCUGUCUUUGCUAAUUGCUGGGUUUCAGGUUGUCUGUUAGAGAUUUUAAGUGAGCUACAAACUACAUCAAUACUUUAUUGCUAUGGGAUAAAGGUAAAAAGAAUAAAAGAUAAAUGGAAGCAAAAGGCAAUGAUGUUGUUCUCCUAAAAUGUGAGACAGUUUGCUUCUUGACAGCAAGUGGAGCCCAACUCUUCAUCUCCCUGAAUCACUGGACAAAGACUAACAUGCUUGAGAUUCAUUUGCUUUCCAUGCUGACUUGAAACAAUUCAAUGAACUGAUUACUCCAUUCAUCUAUCAUGUUUUACACUUACUGUAUAAAAAGUGAGACUCUUUGGGUCAUUUUACAGUAGAAGAGAAGAGCAGGAUAAUCCUAUUAAAAGACACCAGACAAUUUAAAAAUAGGACCUUGUUGUUGCAGAUACUGUCAGGCUAAACGGUAGAUGAAUGUAUUUGUGAAGAUUUUUUUAGUUUUCCUGGGUAAGGCACAUUUUAUAUAUCUGUUCCUUUUUCUAAAUGUGUACUAUCCUUAGUCAGUUAAUGCCCUAUGAUGUAUGAGUCAGAGACAAUGUAAGUAGUUUGUCUCAGGAAAAAUUGGUACUAUACAUUGUUUCACUCACAUAAAGAUAGUGAAUGUCCUAUGCCUUAAAGCUGUUUACUAUAUUUGCUGCUUUUUAUUGUCUUUCUAAACUGUUAAAUAUGUAUCAAAAUGUGUCCAGGCUAAUAGGAACAAAGCAAUGCUGCGAGCUGCAUGAGAUAUUUCCAAGUUGGCAUUAAUUACAAGCCCAGUAAUAAAUGAAAAUUCUAAAAUCCUCUCCAAUUCCAUUGCUUUAACUCCAGUCAAUGAAUGUUUUAUAGUAGCACAUGGCAAAUAUACCAUUAUAGGAAUUGGCAGCUAAACAUAAUCUAAAUCCAGCAUCUUUGGGACAGGGUAGAAUCUCUUGGAUCUCACUGUUUGCCCCAAUUUAAAUAAGCUCCCUUGCUGUGUCUCAGCAGUACACCUAGCUUAAAACAAUGCAAGCAGCACACUUUUAAGAAGAUGAUCAGCAAAGAACAUGCUUUAUUUUGAUUUGAAAAACUGUCAAUCACUGAUAAAUUAGAUCAGAUAGUAUUACUCUACAACAUUAGCUAAUCAUAUUUGCCUGAUAGUUCAGAACGUGCAGGAAAAAUAAUAAAGAUUCAAAUGAAAAUAUUGAAGAUGUUUUUUCCCAGAUGUUGAGUACAAAUUGCUUUGUCACCAAUAUUAGCAAUUGACUUUAGAAAUAAAUGCACCCAUACACACACACACACAUCUGAGAAAGAAAUAAGAUUUAUGUAAUCUUAGAUUUUUUUUUUAGCUUAUAUGGCUGUAGCUAUUUGAACAAUUCCAAAAAUGCCUUUAUGGGUGUCAGAGAGGGAGGGGAAUCUUCAACCACAUGAUCUUCUCUCCAGAGUCCUGUUAAAUGUACUGAACUUAAAACAGAACAAGAAGUGUGAAAUAUAGGUUUGAACACGAUAUGUCAGAAAUAUAAAGGUUGGAAGCCUUUUUAGUAGCCGAUAUUAAUAUUGUAUUAAAUGUUAUGAAAAGGUAGGUGUUGGGGAGAGGGGCUGGGCUCAUGUGCAAUUUUGUCAAGGUUUUUAUCUGUGAUUAUGAUUCCAGAUGUAUCUAUUCCCUAAGGAAAGGAAUGAAGUGAAGCUGGCAUGUGACAUGUGUUUUAAGGUGUUUGGCACAGGUUCCCAAAGUGAUGACAAAAUGUUCAUUUUUAUUACAGUGAUUCAGUAAAAGAAAUACGAUUGUGAAGGUCAAUGGUUUGUAUUUUAGAUAAAUAAUAGAUUACUAUUUGGGGAAAUGUCGUGUUUAAAUCCUGUUGCCUGAAUCUUGCAUCUAUCAUUAUAAAUAGAAUAGAAUAAUUUUAGCACAAUAUAUAGUGGAUAAUUACCAAUCAUGCAAGUUAAUUUUUUGGAGAGGCUACAGGAUUUCAUGCAUGUUAGAAAAGUAAAUAUUGCAACAGGAUUUUUCUUUUUGUACUUAGUACUGUAGCUGCUCCAUACUGCUAAUUUAUUUUUAAUCUAGUCCAGGAUACUACUCACUUCUUUAAGGUCAUUUUGCUAGUCUGUUUGCUGUACAAGUUAAGGUUCAAGUAACGGUAUUAAAAUUCUUUGUAGGAACACAUUUCUUUUUUACCAUAAACAGAUAGAAUUUGUUUUAACAAAGCACUGAAGGUAUUUUGUCUUACUGCAACUAUUGUGUCUAAAUACACGUAAAGAGUUUAGAUGGGAAAGUUCCCUGUGCUCCCCCCUCCUUGCUCCUUUUCACUAUGUAAUAGUAUCAGUAAUUCCACUCUGACAGCAGGGCACCCAGAGCUGCAUUACCAGGCAAACACUCACUCAUAAACAUUUUACAAGUUCAAUAUCAACCAAUCCUAGAGGUUUGGGGGGCUGCCCUGAUUGGGUAUAUUCUGGAUUUGGUAAACAUUGCUACAUAACAAAAAGGUUUGUAAUGAAAGACUCCACUAGCACUGCCUCUUCUGAAUAAUCAGAGACUAAGGAUAUGAUUCACUCCAUAUUUUCUAACUAAACCUCCACAGCUCUGUAUCUGAGCUGUGCUCAGUAUGUUCCUUUCUGCACAUUUCUGUUUCAUUGUGAAUUUAACCACAUCAGAAAGCACCUUAGAUUCUUAGCACAAAUAUUAGAUGCAUUUAAUGUAAGGAAGCUUCCUUUAUUGGAGGUGAUUGGGAACAUUUUGUAUUUUAUAGGUGUAUUUAAGAGGUUAGCAGUAGGGGGGAAUCGUCUGUGGAAAAUCUGCCUGUAACUGAAAUUUUUAGAUGCAGAAGUGUUGCUGAAAUGCUGAUUACGCUCACAUUCUUUUGUUAAGGAGCUCACAACAGCAUGCUCUUAGUUACCACAUAGCAGAAAUCAAGCUUGUCUGUUUUUUUUAAAUCAAACAUCAUUUUCCUCUUUGCUGUCAUUUGUCAUCUUCAACAUUAUAUUUUCCUGUUUUUAUUUUUCUUGUGCAAUCUCUCUUAUAAGUUUUUCUUUUUCAAGGACUUUAUCCAGCUAUGCUUUUAUCGUUAUGUUAUUAAAAAAUAUCUCCCAUAAGUUUAUUUUACAUUUUCUCUGUAUAUAUGAAAGUUAUUAAACAGCUCUCUAGCUAUUACAUUAUGAAUAAUGGUUUACAAGUUUUGACAGUUUUAUUUUCUGCAGGAUAAUUUCUCACUGAUAAAAUGAUCUGAAUAAAUACAUACAAAGCUU
Molecule: long non-coding RNA, 5543 nt
Organism: Alligator mississippiensis (American alligator)
Lineage: Eukaryota; Metazoa; Chordata; Crocodylia; Alligatoridae
Exons: 2
Source: RefSeq, a predicted model, not a curated record